RNAcentral lists this ribosomal RNA (285 nucleotides) under uncultured prokaryote. Its description in RNAcentral is "partial 16S ribosomal RNA". It matches the Rfam family "Bacterial small subunit ribosomal RNA", at positions 524 to 819 of the family's 1533-position model. The record is from RNAcentral.
UACGUAGGGAGCGAGCGUUGUCCGGAAUUACUGGGUGUAAAGGGAGCGUAGGCGGGAAGGCAAGUUGAAUGUCAAAUCUACCGGCUUAACCGGUAGCCGCGUUCAAAACUGUUUUUCUUGAGUGAAGUAGAGGCAGGCGGAAUUCCUAGUGUAGCGGUGAAAUGCGUAGAUAUUAGGAGGAACACUAGUGGCGAAGGCGGCCUGCUGGGCUUUUACUGACGCUGAGGCUCGAAAGCGUGGGGAGCAAACAGGAUUAGAUACCCCGGUAGUCCCUGAGCGGGCUGG